AGAUUGAGCGCUGGCGGCAGGCCUAACACAUGCAAGUCGAGCGGCAGCACGGGUACUUGUACCUGGUGGCGAGCGGCGGACGGGUGAGUAAUGCCUAGGAAUCUGCCUGAUAGUGGGGGAUAACGUUCGGAAACGGACGCUAAUACCGCAUACGUCCUACGGGAGAAAGUGGGGGAUCUUCGGACCUCACGCUAUCAGAUGAGCCUAGGUCGGAUUAGCUAGUUGGUAGGGUAAAGGCCUACCAAGGCUACGAUCCGUAACUGGUCUGAGAGGAUGAUCAGUCACACUGGAACUGAGACACGGUCCAGACUCCUACGGGAGGCAGCAGUGGGGAAUAUUGGACAAUGGGCGAAAGCCUAGACCCAGCCAUGCCGCGUGUGUGAAGAAGGUCUCGGAUUGAAAGCACUUUAAGUGGAGAAGGCAUUAACCUAAUACGUUAGUGUUUGCGUUACGACAGAAUAAGCACCGCUAACGUCUGUGCCAGCAGCCG
RNAcentral lists this ribosomal RNA (490 nucleotides) under uncultured soil bacterium. RNAcentral describes it as "bacterial SSU rRNA". It matches the Rfam family "Bacterial small subunit ribosomal RNA", at positions 26 to 517 of the family's 1533-position model. The record is from RNAcentral.